AUAAAGAAAUUGAAAGACAUCCCAUGCACAUGGAUUGGAAGAAUAAACAUAGUUAAAUGUCUAUAUUAUCUAAAGCAAUCUACAAAUUCAUU
Molecule: non-coding RNA, 92 nt
Organism: Ceratotherium simum simum (southern white rhinoceros)
Lineage: Eukaryota; Metazoa; Chordata; Mammalia; Perissodactyla; Rhinocerotidae
Source: RefSeq, a predicted model, not a curated record